CCUACGGGUGGCAGCAGUGGGGAAUAUUGCACAAUGGGGGAAACCCUGAUGCAGCGACGCCGCGUGCGUGAAGACGUAAUUCGUUAUGUAAAGCUCUUUCAGCAGGGAAGAAAAUGCCGGUACCUGAGUAAGAAGCCCCGGCUAACUACGUGCCAGCAGCCGCGGUAAUACGUAGGGGGCAAGCGUUAUCCGGAUUUACUGGUUGUAAAGGGAGCGUAGACGGCAGUGCAAGUCUGGAGUGAAAGGCGGGGGCUCAACCCCGGGACUGCUCUGGAAACUGUACGGCUGGAGAGCAGGAGAGGUAAGCGGAAUUCCUGGUGUAGCGGUGAAAUGCGUAGAUAUUA
Molecule: ribosomal RNA, 344 nt
Filed under: uncultured bacterium
Lineage: Bacteria
Description: partial 16S ribosomal RNA
Rfam family: Bacterial small subunit ribosomal RNA
Source: RNAcentral